Molecule: long non-coding RNA, 1329 nt
Filed under: Oncorhynchus mykiss (rainbow trout)
Lineage: Eukaryota; Metazoa; Chordata; Actinopteri; Salmoniformes; Salmonidae
Description: lncRNA (ENSOMYG00000056031.1)
Source: RNAcentral
AUUGAUUAUCACCUUAACUCUUGGCAUCUUCCUCUAACUCCAUUCCUCUCUCCUCAUCCCUCUCCUCAUUCCUCUCUCCUCAUCCCUUUCCUCAUUCCUCUCUCCUCAUCCCUUUCCUCAUUCCUCUCUCCUCAUCCCUUUCCUCAUUCCUCAUCCCUUUCCUCAUUCCUCUCUCCUCAUUCCUCUCUCCUCAUUCCUCUCUCCUCAUUCCUCUCUCCUCAUUCCUCUCUCCUCAUUCCUCUCUCCUCAUUCCUCUCUCCUCAUUCCUCUCUCCUCAUUCCUCUCCUCAUUCCUCUCCUCAUCCCUCUCCUCAUUCCUCUCGCCCAUACUCCUCCUCAUUCCUCUCCUCAUUCCUCUCCUCAUUCCUCUCGCCCAUACUCCUCCCCCUCUCCUCAUUCCUCUCCCCCAUACUCCUCCUCCCCCUCUCCUCAUUCCUCUCCCCCAUACUCCUCAUCCCUCUCCUCAUUCCUCUCCCCCAUACUCCUCAUCCCUCUCCUCAUUCCUCUCCCCCAUACUCCUCAUCCCUCUCCUCAUUCCUCUCCCCCAUACUCCUCAUCCCUCUCCUCAUUCCUCUCGCCCAUACUCCUCAUUCCUCUCCUCAUCCCUUUCCUCAUUCCUCUCUCCUCAUCCCUUUCCUCAUUCCUCAUUCCUCUCCUCAUUCCUCUCUCCUCAUUCCUCUCUCCUCAUUCCUCUCCUCAUUCCUCUCUCCUCAUUCCUCUCCUCAUUCCUCUCCUCAUUCCUCUCUCCUCAUUCCUCUCCUCAUUCCUCUCCUCAUUCCUCUCCUCAUUCCUCUCCUCAUUCCUCUCCUCAUCCCUCUCCUCAUCCCUCUCAUUCCUCUCGCCCAUACUCCUCCUCAUUCCUCUCCUCAUUCCUCUCCUCAUUCCUCUCGCCCAUACUCCUCCUCAUCCCUCUCCUCAUUCCUCUCGCCCAUACUCCUCCUCAUCCCUCUCCUCAUUCCUCUCGCCCAUACUCCUCCUCAUCCCUCUCCUCAUUCCUCUCGCCCAUACUCCUCCUCAUCCCUCUCCUCAUUCCUCUCGCCCAUACUCCUCCUCAUCCCUCUCCUCAUUCCUCUCGCCCAUACUCCUCCUCAUCCCUCUCCUCAUUCCUCUCUCCCAUACUCCUCAUCCCUCUCCUCAUUCCUCUCUCCCAUACUCCUCCUCAUCCCUCUCCUCAUUCCUCUCUCCCAUACUCCUCCCCCUCUCCCCCCUCUCCUCCCAUUCCUCCCUUUCUCUUCAGACUGCCAACCUAGCGGAGGCCAAUGCGUCAGAGGAUGACAAGAUCAGAGCCAUGAUGUCCCAGUCCAACAGUGAAUAUGACCCCAUACAGUGA